UACGUAGGGUGCGAGCGUUGUCCGGAAUUAUUGGGCGUAAAGGGCUCGUAGGCGGUCUGUCGCGUCGGGAGUGAAAACUCAGGGCUUAACCCUGAGCCUGCUUCCGAUACGGGCAGACUAGAGGUAUGCAGGGGAGAACGGAAUCCCUGGUGUAGCGGUGAAAUGCGCAGAUAUCAGGAGGAACACCGGUGGCGAAGGCGGUUCUCUGGGCAUGAUCUGACGCUGAGGAGCGAAAGUGUGGGGAGCGAACAGG
This 253-nucleotide ribosomal RNA is filed under the name uncultured bacterium. RNAcentral describes it as "partial 16S ribosomal RNA". It matches the Rfam family "Bacterial small subunit ribosomal RNA", at positions 524 to 776 of the family's 1533-position model. The record is from RNAcentral.